RNAcentral lists this ribosomal RNA (638 nucleotides) under Bacillus sp. (in: firmicutes). Its description in RNAcentral is "bacterial SSU rRNA". It matches the Rfam family "Bacterial small subunit ribosomal RNA", at positions 644 to 1282 of the family's 1533-position model. The record is from RNAcentral. Lineage: Bacteria; Bacillati; Bacillota; Bacilli; Caryophanales; Bacillaceae.
GAGUGCAGAAGAGGAGAGUGGAAUUCCACGUGUAGCGGUGAAAUGCGUAGAGAUGUGGAGGAACACCAGUGGCGAAGGCGACUCUCUGGUCUGUAACUGACGCUGAGGAGCGAAAGCGUGGGGAGCGAACAGGAUUAGAUACCCUGGUAGUCCACGCCGUAAACGAUGAGUGCUAAGUGUUAGGGGGUUUCCGCCCCUUAGUGCUGCAGCUAACGCAUUAAGCACUCCGCCUGGGGAGUACGGUCGCAAGACUGAAACUCAAAGGAAUUGACGGGGGCCCGCACAAGCGGUGGAGCAUGUGGUUUAAUUCGAAGCAACGCGAAGAACCUUACCAGGUCUUGACAUCCUCUGACAAUCCUAGAGAUAGGACGUCCCCUUCGGGGGCAGAGUGACAGGUGGUGCAUGGUUGUCGUCAGCUCGUGUCGUGAGAUGUUGGGUUAAGUCCCGCAACGAGCGCAACCCUUGAUCUUAGUUGCCAGCAUUCAGUUGGGCACUCUAAGGUGACUGCCGGUGACAAACCGGAGGAAGGUGGGGAUGACGUCAAAUCAUCAUGCCCCUUAUGACCUGGGCUACACACGUGCUACAAUGGACAGAACAAAGGGCAGCGAAACCGCGAGGUUAAGCCAAUCCCACAAAUC